RNAcentral lists this ribosomal RNA (414 nucleotides) under uncultured marine eukaryote. Its description in RNAcentral is "SSU rRNA". It matches the Rfam family "Eukaryotic small subunit ribosomal RNA", at positions 1 to 409 of the family's 1831-position model. The record is from RNAcentral.
AACCUGGUUGAUCCUGCCAGUAGUCAUAUGCUUGUCUCAAAGAUUAAGCCAUGCAUGUCUAAGUAUAAACUGCUUUAUACUGUGAAACUGCGAAUGGCUCAUUAAAUCAGUUAUAGUUUAUUUGAUGGUACUUACUUACUCGGAUACCCGUAGUAAUUCUAGAGCUAAUACGUGCGUACAUCCCGACUUCUGGAAGGGACGUAUUUAUUAGAUAAAAGGCCGACCGGGCUUGCCCGACUCGCGGUGACUCAUGAUAACUUCACGAAUCGCAUGGCCUUGUGCCGGCGAUGUUUCAUUCAAAUUUCUGCCCUAUCAACCUUUUGAUGGUAGGAUAAGAGGCCCUACCCUGGGUGGUAACCGGGUGACGGAAAAUUAAGGGUUCCAUUCCGGAAAAAGGAGCCUGAGAAGCGGGUU